RNAcentral lists this non-coding RNA (29 nucleotides) under Homo sapiens (human). The record is from RNAcentral. Lineage: Eukaryota; Metazoa; Chordata; Mammalia; Primates; Hominidae.
UGGCAGAUCCCUGGUGAGGGCUCCAUCAA